Molecule: ribosomal RNA, 414 nt
Filed under: Adelges cooleyi (spruce gall adelgid)
Lineage: Eukaryota; Metazoa; Arthropoda; Insecta; Hemiptera; Adelgidae
Description: partial 12S small subunit ribosomal RNA
Source: RNAcentral
UUACUAAAAAAUUAAUAGUUAAUUUCUUUAAAUUUAAAAAAUUUGGCGGUAUUUUAUUCUUAUUAGAGGAAUCUGUUCUAUAAUUGAUAAUCCACGAUUAAUUUUACUUAUUUUUUUAAUUCAUAUAUCGCUGUCAUGAAUAUAUUUAAAGAUUAAUUUUCUUAAAUUAUUAUUUUAAUUUAUGUUAAGUCAAGAUGUGGUUUAUAUUUAAGAAAGAAAUGGAUUACAUUAAAUUUAAUUUUUGGAUUUAAAAUGAAAAUAUAAAUAAAAUUGGAUUUAAUAGUAAAUUUAUUUAUUUAAAUAAAAUGAAUAAAGAUCUAAAAUAUGUACAUAUUGCCCGCCAUUCUUAUUAAAAAUAAGACAAGUCGUAACAAAGUAAAUGUACUGGAAAGUGUAUUUAGAAUGAUUAAAAAA